CUAUGACACUUAGAGAAGAUGUCUUUUGAUUUUUCCCAUCUAACUAGAAAUUUCUGGCCUUCUUCAACCUUCAUGUAAUAGUGAAUUUAUUGAUACUGCAUUUGCAAGGUUGACGUUUCAUUUCUAAGAAAAGAAUGUUUACUACAAUUAGAUGAGAAGAGUCUCUUCUGGUCAAAGAAGAUCUCUUAAGAGUAGUUCACAUGGGGAAAAGAAAAAUGGAUCUGAGAACGCUGUCUGGGCUUGGUACCAAGAGCUGGUAUUUCACAGCAGCGACCGCCUCACAGACGAGCUGUGGGAAGCAGGAGGGAGACUCUCUCUUAGGGUGCCACUACUAUGGAGACACAGCUGGGCUGAACAAGAUUUGCUUCAAACGACAACAAGAGAGACAGAAAGUAUCUGGUUCAACCGCUGCCCGAGCAGGCAGGCACCAGAAGAGCUAGCAGCCAAUCCGGCCAUGCUCGAAGCCAGCUCUGCAGCUCAGCCAAUCAGUGACAUCAUUGCUUUCUUUAGCUUGCCCAUGGUGAUGUGAAGAUGAGAAGAAAUAGCAAGGCCCAACCAGUUCUUCAUCUGGAGACAGUUCAACGUUCUGCAAACCAGAUCUUCAGGAAUUUUACUGGGAUAAUUAUCCAAAUAAAUUGCAAGCAUUCUAUCCAAAUGGAGCUCUUUCUGAGAUGAAGAGAAUUCUCAAUGUCAAGAUUUGAACAAGAAGAGAAUGGAAUACACAAUAUGGACAUCCAUAAAAAUUCAUCAGAGAGCAUUUUACUACUGAGCUGCAAAGGUGUCUGAUGAUUUGUGAGCCUCAAGUGACUACUCUGUGGAAUCAUCUGUCCUUGCCUUUGAAUUAGCUUUCCCUAGGCCAUGAGUCAACAUUAGUAGUUUAUACAUCCAAAUUGGUAGGUCUUUAUGAAAUUCUUCUAUGUAUUCGUUCUAGACAUAUAAGUGAAGUAUAAGAAAUUAUAGAUUUACAUUGUGGUUGUUUUUACAGCUUCUGGACAUCUUUGAGAAAAUACUUGGGUGGCAUUGAAACACUAGCCAAUGGAAGCAUUUGAUUUUGUAGAAUUUUGAAAUGUAGUGCCUUACUCAUAGUACACUUCCUAGUCUUGGGGGUGGGAAGACCAGUCUGUAGCUAACUUAUUACUGUCUUAUACAUCAUGCUAAAGCCCAGCCUGGGCAUUUGUAAACCUCGGGGAGGUUUCUACUUUAGACAACAGUUUUUGUUGAGGGAUUACACCACAGUCAGUUCCCUCCAUUUCUCCCUCUCUUCCUGGCCCCCCUCCCACCCAACAUGGAGCCUUUUCAACUCUUCAAAGAAGUGGGAAAAAAAAGUAGACUCUUUAUUAAUGGCAGAAAACAAACUGGCUGCUGUACUUCCGAGGCAGCUCUCUAAUAAUAAAGCAGAGUAGGCACUGCAACAAAGAAUUCUUGAAUGUACUAAAUAUAUAGGGAAGCCUAUUUAAAUUCACCAGAGGGGCUUAGAGGACAAGCAGCAGAAAGUUUAGAAUUCAAUUCAAGCCAUGCCAGAAAAUGAAAAUGUACUUAAAAAAGGAUUUCUGAAACAAUUGUUCAAAGAAAUGUCAACUUUUAAGGUUCUUUCUAGAAGAAUGAAAUUUGUACUCUAAUUUAUGUGGUGACUUUUUCAAUUAGAGAGGAAAAGUGAUUAACAGAAUCUCAAAGGAAUUGUAUCUUAUGUUUAAAGAAAACGUGUUUUCUUUCCAUAGGAUGUUCUCUAGUGAGGGCCACCUAGUGCACUGACUAAAAACAACCAAAUAUAUUUAUGGGACAAACAGAUAAUGUAUUUUUUUUUUUUUUUAGCAAUUAGACAUAACAAAUGCUCAUCUUACUUUGACAGAAAAAUAUUCAACUUUAUAUUCUUUCUAGUUCAUUUUCUCACAUUCAGCUCUACGAUUUAAAAUAUUUUAAUUGUAACUCUGAAAGAGCAAUUUGCUGAUAAAUAAUAGGACUAUGUGUUUCUAAAUUUAAGAGAUAAAAAAGUGAUCCCUACCUUAUCUCUUAGUGAUUGAGUCAAGAAAUUAUCGUUGCCCAUUAUUUACCUAUCUAUAAGACAUGUGUUUCUAUAAGGAAUACCCACAUCUAUAAGAAUAUAUAUUUUAUUAAUCACAAUGUUCACUUUCUUUAUAAAAACUGCUUAUAAAGAUCCCAGCACUUUGGGAGGCCGAGGUGGGCGGAUCACGAGGUCAGGAGAUGGAGACCAUCCUGGCUAACACGGUGAAA
Long non-coding RNA from Homo sapiens (human), 2232 nucleotides. Ensembl annotates it as mir-99a-let-7c cluster host gene. Its record names the gene MIR99AHG. The record is from Ensembl. NCBI's taxonomy places the organism in Eukaryota, Metazoa, Chordata, Mammalia, Primates, Hominidae.